This 2898-nucleotide long non-coding RNA is filed under the name Homo sapiens (human). Its description in RNAcentral is "HSALNT0061331". Lineage: Eukaryota; Metazoa; Chordata; Mammalia; Primates; Hominidae. The record is from RNAcentral.
GCCUCCCGAGUAGCUGGGAUUACAGGCGCCCGCCAUCACGCCCGUCUAAUUUUUUUGUAUUUUUAGUAGAGACGGGGUUUCACCGUGUUAGCCAGGAUGGUCUCGAUCUCCUGACCUCGUGAUCCGCCCGCCUCGGCCUCCCAAAGUGCUGGGAUUACAAGCGUGAGCCACCGCGCCCGGCCACUAAGGGCUUUUACAAUUUCUUAUUUAAACCUCAUCAUGACCCUAGAAGCCUGAAGGCGGAAAGCACCGCUCAAGCCUCCCGAGCGCCCCCUCGUGCACAGUCCUGUUCUUGCUGAGAAUCGCUGGCACAGCGCAUCUCUCUGAAAUGCAGACGUCUCCUCUGCAGCUUCCAGAAUGAGAGCAAAAUCAUCACAACGAGAGUGCCUUCUCUUUCAUGCUCCUUCUGGAUCUCAGGAACAACUCUAGGGGAUGGGUAUUAUUGUCUCCAUUUGCCAGAUGAAGAAGCAGAAGACACUGGAAAUUACUGAUGCUGAAACAGUUGCACCCUGAGCACCUCAACAAUUGAAUUCUCAGUCUCUAAGAGAAGUAACAAAGAGUAAGGACAUCUAACCAUCUACACAACUGUCUCUGUUUCAUAUAGAAACACUUAGCUAACGCUGCAGAUUUUUCUCAUAAGACACUUGCCAUGCCAAUUAACUUGGGCUGGGGUAACGAAUCCCUGGAUAAUAUGAAUUUAUAAUCUAACGAUGUUUUGCUAGUAUCAUAAGAGUAAAGAUGAAAUGCCUCUGUGUCACUCUUCUGCUAACAACCACUCAGCCCAAAAUGCAAGCUGGAUAAGCAGGGACUCCCUUUAGGCACAUGGUCCCACAGAACACACACGGCUGGUAUUCAGCCGCAAGAAGGAAUUUAUUAUGGGAGUUCCUAAGAGCAAUGGCAUGAGAGGAAUCAAUGUGAAAAAUCUAUAUUUCUUCUACCAAAAAUUGACCAAUUUAUUCUCACCUCCCAAAUUAUGGUUUGACUUUAGCUUUGCGGAACUUGAGGCAAGGUGAAUUUACACUGUGAUUUCUUUCCUUCAUACAGAUGAACACCUGACUUACUGACAAAGUUUCUCAUAUAUAUAUAUGAGAAUAUAUAUAUAUUCUUUCUUUUCUCAAUGCUCAUUUUUUUCUUUUUUUUUUUUUUGGAAGAGGAAAAGACUAAGGCUGGCAAAAUUUUCUCUAAGCAUACAUCAGGCAGCUAAAGGGUUUAAAUGAAAGUGCAAUUGAUUGCUUUCCUCCAGCUGGGGAGGGGAUUGGGGUGGGGUGGCAUGAAGGACCCUGUACUUACCAGCCUCCUACUGUGUACCAAACCUUCUCACAGGUGCUCAUCAAAUUUAAUGGCCAAAGCAACCGUAUUGGUCAUUAUAAUUGCCAUCUUACAGAUGGGAAAAAUAAGAGAAGAUGACUUGCUCAAGUUCCCAAGCACGUGCUAGCCUCAGGAUUUGAACCUAGAUCUGUCUGAACUAGGAAACCGUAGUGAUUUUAUGAUACCCUUUGGUAACCACUUGUUUGUAUAACCUUGCCUUCCUCCACUGUUUCACACAGGACAUGGUGUUCACUGCCCCACUGGGCAUUUUUUUUUUUUUUGAGACAGGGUCUCAUUCUGUCACUCAGGCUGGAGUGCAGGAGCGUGAUCAUAGCUCACUGUACUCUCAAACUCCUGAGCUCAAGUGUUCUUCCCAUCUCAGCCUCCUAAGUAGGUGGGACUACAGGCACACACCACCAUGCCCAGCUAAUUUUUUUAAAUUUUUGUAGAGACGAGGUCUCACUAUGUUGCCCAGGCUGGUCUGGAACUCCUGGUGUCAAGUGACCCUCCUGCCUCACCUUCCCAAAGUACUGGGACUAUAGGCAUAAGCCACCACACCCAGCCUUAACAUAAAUCUUUGCGUGGCACAAAGAGCUGGACUUUCUGCCCUUAGAAUUUGUCUCAGUUCCCAAAUCUGAAACUCCAGGGGCGCAAUCGUAAAUGGAAACUCUACUUGCAGGGGCCUUUAGAGAGGAGCUCUUUCUCCUCUCAGCUCUGUCUCUCCCACAGAUAUAACUGUGAGCACAAUUUUAAUGGUCUUUCACUAUACACAAUGAAGAACUGUUGAAGGAAGUUCUAAAUUCCAUGAAGCUCUGCCAUGAUUUCACUAUAAUUCCGUAAACAUAUGCUGAAUAUGAAUAAACGAAUAAACAAGAAAACCAAUGACUGUAUUCUGUGCUUCCCAGCCUGAGAAUAGUUUCUCAAUGAGUGAGGACUAAGGGAAGUGCUGGAACAGGCCUACUGCAGGCCUGGGCUCUUCCCCUCUUCCCACCUGCUUUAAAGUAAAGCCCUCCAGGAACAGAGAGGAAAUUGCACCAAUAAACACAAUAUUAUUUUAAAUCCUUGAUUUCCUGCAUGACAUAGCAAAGCAUUUGCUCUCGUGCCCACUCAAGUCAGCAUGAAAUCCCAUCCCAAAAAAGUGGAGGGGGGCUAGAGGGAGAUUAAAAAGAGAGCAUUUAUCACAACUGCAAUUAGAAUCAGAAUCAAAUUGUUUUAAAGAAACAAUGUCAACGUUUUACAGACUAUUCUUCUAUGAAGUAGGGAGUCUGGGAGCACCCAGCUGCUGUUUUCAACUUCAUAAUCUCAUUCUAGCUAAAUUAUACCAUUCAAUCACAAAAGUAUUAAUAUGCAGCACAAACUUGUAUAUAUACAACAGUACUAAAUAGUCUGUUAAAGGGCAAGUACCUAAUGGCAAAUGAGUUUAUUCAAACCAUAUUUAAUUUGCCCUUUAUCAUCACAGAAGACUAUGAAACCAUUCUUUAUUUCUCUCUGUGUUUUAAUGGUUGUCAUCUAUCAGGCUCUUGGGCAUCUUGUGCAUUUUGAUAAAACGUUAAUCUAACAGAUGUUCAGGGACACUCCUCUGUGGGUGGA